Molecule: ribosomal RNA, 253 nt
Filed under: uncultured bacterium
Lineage: Bacteria
Description: partial 16S ribosomal RNA
Rfam family: Bacterial small subunit ribosomal RNA
Source: RNAcentral
UACGUAGGGUGCGAGCGUUGUCCGGAAUUAUUGGGCGUAAAGAGCUCGUAGGCGGUUUGUUGCGUCGGCCGUGAAAACCUGCAGCUUAACUGUGGGCCUGCGGCCGAUACGGGCAGACUUGAGUUCGGUAGGGGAGACUGGAAUUCCUGGUGUAGCGGUGAAAUGCGCAGAUAUCAGGAGGAACACCGGUGGCGAAGGCGGGUCGCUGGGACGUUACUGACGCUGAGACGCGAAAGCGUGGGGAGCAAACAGG